UACGAAGGGUGCAAGCGUUACUCGGAAUUACUGGGCGUAAAGCGCGCGUAGGCGGUUUGUUAAGUCAGCUGUGAAAGCCCUGGGCUCAACCUGGGAAUUGCAGUGGAUACUGGCAAGCUAGAGUGCGGUAGAGGAUGGUGGAAUUCCCGGUGUAGCGGUGAAAUGCGUAGAGAUCGGGAGGAACACCUGUGGCGAAGGCGGCCAUCUGGACCAGCACUGACGCUGAGGCACGAAAGCGUGGGGAGCAAACAGG
This 253-nucleotide ribosomal RNA is filed under the name uncultured bacterium. Its description in RNAcentral is "partial 16S ribosomal RNA". It matches the Rfam family "Bacterial small subunit ribosomal RNA", at positions 524 to 776 of the family's 1533-position model. The record is from RNAcentral.